Molecule: long non-coding RNA, 510 nt
Organism: Microplitis mediator
Lineage: Eukaryota; Metazoa; Arthropoda; Insecta; Hymenoptera; Braconidae
Exons: 3
Source: RefSeq, a predicted model, not a curated record
AUGUUGACACUAAACAACUACACAAGGACAAUCAAGUUUGUGUUUUGUAAAUAAGCGUCCACGUAUUCGUUUAGUUAUCAGUUGACAAGUAUAUAAAUUCUGAUACAAAACAUUAGAAUUGAUAGAACUAAAUAAACUUUGAGCUUCCAAUCACAGCGAUACACUGCAAAAUGUCCAAGUAUUUAAUUCUGUUGGUUUUAAUGGCAUUUAUUGCUACUGUUUAUACUGAAUGUAAACUUCCAGUUACACCAUGUGAAUCAGACGAUGAAUGCUGUCAAGGUUGGUGCGUUCCAUCACCGGUUUCUUCGAAUAAAAUGUGUAUAGUACCAGUGUAAAUCUCCCUCGAGCUUAUACUUAAAAGGUUAAAUAAUAUUCCAAAUUAUAUGCAGAUCGAAAUAGUAAAUUUUUUUAAAGCUUUUGAAUUGUGGAUUUUUCAUUGUAAAUUAUACUUAUGUCAAUAAUUUGUUAUGUUUAAUUAUUAAUACCUGAAUAAAUUGUUUAUUUAAAUAA